This 465-nucleotide ribosomal RNA is filed under the name uncultured bacterium. Its description in RNAcentral is "partial 16S ribosomal RNA". It matches the Rfam family "Bacterial small subunit ribosomal RNA", at positions 28 to 507 of the family's 1533-position model. The record is from RNAcentral.
GACGAACGCUGGCGGCGUGCUUAACACAUGCAAGUCGAACGGAAAGGCCCUGCUUGCAGGGUACUCGAGUGGCGAACGGGUGAGUAACACGUGGGUGAUCUGCCCUGCACUUCGGGAUAAGCUUGGGAAACUGGGUCUAAUACCGGAUAGGAACCAUCUUUAGUGUGGUGGUUGGAAAGUUUUUUCGGUGUAGGAUGAGCUCGCGGCCUAUCAGCUUGUUGGUGGGGUAAUGGCCUACCAAGGCGGCGACGGGUAGCCGGCCUGAGAGGGUGUACGGCCACAUUGGGACUGAGAUACGGCCCAGACUCCUACGGGAGGCAGCAGUGGGGAAUAUUGCACAAUGGGCGCAAGCCUGAUGCAGCGACGCCGCGUGGGGGAGGAAGGCCUUCGGGUUGUAAACUCCUUUCGCUAGGGACGAAGCUUUUUGUGACGGUACCUAGAUAAGAAGCACCGGCUAACUACGUG